GGCGUGUGGUGGUGUUUGGAUUGUCUCUGCCGGCUGGCUCCGUGCCCGUCCACCGAACGGCCGGCAGGCAGCCCGCGUUGCUUGUUGUGUGGGAUGAGAUGGUGCCUCAGAGGCUGGUUCUUGUGCUGCCUACCCCCUCAAGGGAAGCAGGCCACUUGCUUUAGCCUCCGUCCGGCGCCUUCUAACGGGCGCGGGAGGACAGCGUAGCACCCCCCGUGUUCCACCGAGCCUUCAUCGGUCGCGUGGCCCGCGGGGAAGUGCGAUGCUCUUGGACCCAGCGCACGCCGCGGACGGGGACUCGCGCCCCAGUCCUAAGAGGAGCUUCGAUAUAACGUAUGACGGCCGCUCCCGCCCCUUGACCGCCCCGGCGGCGCAAGGGCGGACGCGCGACGUCGCGGAGGAUUGCUACCUGGUUGAUCCUGCCAGUAGUCAUAUGCUUGUCU
Molecule: unclassified non-coding RNA, 443 nt
Filed under: Enterolobium timbouva
Lineage: Eukaryota; Viridiplantae; Streptophyta; Magnoliopsida; Fabales; Fabaceae
Description: partial external transcribed spacer
Source: RNAcentral